This 1332-nucleotide ribosomal RNA is filed under the name uncultured bacterium. RNAcentral's name for it is "bacterial SSU rRNA". It matches the Rfam family "Bacterial small subunit ribosomal RNA", at positions 28 to 1381 of the family's 1533-position model. The record is from RNAcentral.
GACGAACGCUGGCGGCGCGCGCAACACAUGCAAGUCGAACGAGAGAUGAGGAGCUUGCUCUUCAAAUCGAGUGGCGAACGGGUGAGUAACGCGUGAGGAACCUGCCUCAAAGAGGGGGACAACAGUUGGAAACGACUGCUAAUACCGCAUAAGCCCACGGCUCGGCAUCGAGCAGAGGGAAAAGGAGCAAUCCGCUUUGAGAUGGCCUCGCGUCCGAUUAGCUGGUUGGUGAGGUAACGGCCCACCAAGGCGACGAUCGGUAGCCGGACUGAGAGGUUGAACGGCCACAUUGGGACUGAGACACGGCCCAGACUCCUACGGGAGGCAGCAGUGGGGAAUAUUGCACAAUGGGGGAAACCCUGAUGCAGCGACGCCGCGUGGAGGAAGAAGGUCUUCGGAUUGUAAACUCCUGUUGUUGAGGAAGAUAAUGACGGUACUCAACAAGGAAGUGACGGCUAACUACGUGCCUGCAGCCGCGGUAAAACGUAGGUCACAAGCGUUGUCCGGAAUUACUGGGUGUAAAGGGAGCGCAGGCGGGAGAACAAGUUGGAAGUGAAAUCCAUGGGCUCAACCCAUGAACUGCUUUCAAAACUGUUUUUCUUGAGUAGUGCAGAGGUAGGCGGAAUUCCCGGUGUAGCGGUGGAAUGCGUAGAUAUCGGGAGGAACACCAGUGGCGAAGGCGGCCUACUGGGCACCAACUGACGCUGAGGCUCGAAAGUGUGGGUAGCAAACAGGAUUAGAUACCCUGGUAGUCCACACCGUAAACGAUGAUUACUAGGUGUUGGAGGAUUGACCCCUUCAGUGCCGCAGUUAACACAAUAAGUAAUCCACCUGGGGAGUACGACCGCAAGGUUGAAACUCAAAGGAAUUGACGGGGGCCCGCACAAGCAGUGGAGUAUGUGGUUUAAUUCGACGCAACGCGAAGAACCUUACCAAGUCUUGACAUCCCUUGACGAACAUAGAAAUAUGUUUUCUCUUCGGAGCAAGGAGACAGGUGGUGCAUGGUUGUCGUCAGCUCGUGUCGUGAGAUGUUGGGUUAAGUCCCGCAACGAGCGCAACCCUUAUGGUCAGUUACUACGCAAGAGGACUCUGGCCAGACUGCCGUUGACAAAACGGAGGAAGGUGGGGAUGACGUCAAAUCAUCAUGCCCUUUAUGACUUGGGCUACACACGUACUACAAUGGCGUUAAACAAAGAGAAGCAAGACCGCGAGGUGGAGCAAAACUCAGAAACAACGUCCCAGUUCGGACUGCAGGCUGCAACUCGCCUGCACGAAGUCGGAAUUGCUAGUAAUCGUGGAUCAGCAUGCCACGGUGAAUACGUUCCCGGGCCU